ACUCUCAUUUCUAGUUAAAGGAAAGCGAAAGUGAUACUGAACGACAACGGUGGGCAGGGCAAACCGAUAAAAAGAACCCACACGCGGUUAUAAACUUAAUUCAGAAGAAACGCUGUCCGAGAUUAGGGGAAUGACUUCCUGUAUAAUCGGCAGUAGAAGGUUUCACUUUUAAUGAGCCGACGUUACUUUACUAGCUGUGCUUUUAAAGCGUUCCUACCAGUAAAUUAUACGAUAUAAUAAACGGCGUAUAUACCAGGAAUGAAGUGUAUAGCAAGGAUAUAUCACAAUCUAUGGCACGGUAUAACCAAAUAAUUAUCACAGCUGGAGACAUAACUGUCUAUAAAAUCUUAUUACAGAUUGAUCACACACAGCGUGGGCAGGCCUCCACCUGAACAGAAGUGAUGGAAAACCCAAACCGAGGAGGGAGAGGGGGUCAGAGGGGCAGAGGGAGAGCCAACGCUGAGCACAGGAGAGGUGCUGGACCUGCUGAGGGAGAGCACAACAGGAGGCCCAGCCCGGAGAGAGGAGGGAGAUGGAGAGGCAGGGGGGACAGGAGAGGAGGGAACAGGGGCCACCUGCCAGACAACUGGAGGGAAGAUGGGCAGAGAGAGAGGAGAGAGAGGGAGGGCGAUGCCAGGAGAGGAGGAGGGAGAGGAAGGGGGGAGGGUGCAGAGAGAGGGGAGAGGGAUGCAGAUGGUGCAAGAGGAGAUAGAGGAAGAGGGGACAGGGGGCGGGGCAGAGGAGGAAGAGGGGGUGGAAGGGGCAGGGACCAGGGCGGGGAUGGCGAACCGGAGGUGCGCAGGCUGGGGUACAGGGCCCUGGAGGAUCUGGUCGGGAAAGAGCCGUCAGAGGUGGCCAUCACACUAUCCUCCAGCCCCGGUCUGCAGCUCCUGCUGGAGGAGCGGACUAUGAGCCACGGCCUGAUCCAGCUGCUCUGCCAGGUCCUGAGCAAGGCCGUCCGCUCCAGAACCGACCGCCGGAUCGUCCAGCACCUCGCUGGGGUGGUGAAGGACUCGGGUUUCCUUCGGGCGGUGCUCCCCCACUACGUCGUGGGGAUGAUGACGGACCACGGCCCUGCCCGCCGGGCCCAGUACCCCGAGCACUUGGACAACAUUGUCAGCCUCCUCUCGGACAUGCUCAGCAUCUUCCCCGCCAGCUCCGUGCAGGUGACCUCCAUGCUGGUGGCCCUCCUGAAGCCGGCCAUCAACGGGCUCCGGGCCUCAGGGGUGGACAUCCCGGAUCAUAUCGAGCAGAACCUGGGCAAGAUUCAGGGGCUGGUCGACCACCUUCAGGAGAAAGCCAGGGACGGGACCCUGAGGUCGGACAACUACACCUUCCUCACUCCCGAGCAGGAUGCCCCGCCCGGGGAGGGUGACUUCCGGACUAUGACCAUCUACCCCACGCCCGAGGAGAUCCACCAGGACCAGAAGCCCUUUCUGAGGCCCAACAUCACCUCCUGCAGCUACCCCAGUGUCCAGGUGUACUUGGACACCCACUUCCGGCUGCUGAGGGAGGACUUUGUGCGGCCGUUACGCGAGGGGAUCCGCGAGCUCCUGCAAAGCUACGAGGAGGAGAGCCUGGGCCAGGUGCCGGUGAGGAGGAAACGCUUUGAUGACAUCAGGGUUUACUUCGAAACCCGUCUGCUAGUGCCGCUCUGCACCCCGACAGGGACUGCAUACAAAGUCCAGUUCGACCCAACACCUCUAAAGUUUGUGCGUUGGCAGAACUCCAAGCGGCUUCUGUACGGCUCCCUGGUCUGCAUGUCCCAGGACAACUUUGAGACCUUCCUGUUCGCCACGGUGUCGGACCGCGACCCGGCCGAACUACAGAAGGGCCAGGUCCAGCUCAGUUUCUGCCAGGACAGCCGCCCGGCUCUGGCCGCGGUCCGGGUGUCCGACUCCUUCCUCAUGGUGGAGACCACGGCCUAUUUCGAGGCCUACCGCCACGUCCUGGAAGGCCUGCAGGAACUGGAAGUGGAAGACCUGCCCUUCCAGAGGUACAUAGUGGAGUGCCAGUCCGACGUAGCGCAUCCUGCCUACCUCACUACUGAGGACACAUACAUCUUGGAGUCUAUAGCGGCCCCUGGGUUUGCGUCUGAGUUGCAGCCCUUCAGUGUCCGGGACCCCCACGCCUGGCCCCCCAUGGAACACCUGGGCUUGGAUGAGUCGCAGAUGAGAGCCCUGAAAUUAGCGCUCACCAAGGAGUUUGUCAUAAUACAGGGACCCCCCGGCACAGGAAAGACUUACGUGGGACUGAAGAUCGCCCAGGCUCUACUGACAAACCCUCAUGUAUGGCAGCAAGGUGAAGACCACCUGCCCAUUCUGGUCGUCUGUUACACCAAUCACGCGUUGGACCAGUUCCUCGAAGGGAUCCAUGGCUUCCUGGAGGACGGGAUCGUAAGGGUGGGAGGCCGCAGCAACAGUGAGGUCCUGAAACGCUUCACCCUCCGGGAGCUGACGGGGGGGCCCGGGUUCCGCCGCAGCCUGCCCGGCCACCUGCGCCGCGCCCACUAUGAGAUCAGCACAGAGCUGGCCCAGGCGGAGCAGAAGAUCGUGCAGCAGGCCAGCCAGCUGGAGUGCAGCCUGAGAGGAAUCAUGCACGAGCAGUUCCUGGAGCGCUUCAUCUCCGAGGACCACUGGGACUGCCUGAGCAACCAGCCUAUGUGGGACGGGUUCGAGCACUACGGCAAAAAGCAGUCCAUGAUCCUGGAGUGGCUGGGGCUGGGCUCCUCCGAAUUCCAGAUGAGAGAUCAGCAGCCCAACGCUGAGAACGCUGAGGUUGAAGAGGAGGAGCUGGAACAGGAAGAGGAAGAGGAGCUGGUGGAGGUGGAGGAAGAGGCGGAACUGAUCCAGGCGGAGCGCAUGAUCGAAGAGGCGGAGCUUAACGGCAGGGUCGAGAGGAAGAAGAAGAGCAAAACGGACAUGGCGGUGCGGGCGCUGGAAGGGAUGAUGUUGGCGCUGAGCCUCAACCACACCGAGAGGGAUCCCGCUCCGAGCGCGGACGGCUGGCAGAUGCAGAAAGGUCAGAGGAAGAAGCUGAAGCUGCGGAUCCGCAGGGAGCUGGCUAAGAGCACGGCCAUGAGCGAGGAGGAGGAGGCCGCCCUGCACGACGUCUGGAGGCUCCCGCUGCGCGACCGCUGGAGACUCUACCGGCUGUGGCUCUGGCGCUACCAGACGGACAUGCGGGCGAAGGCGCUGCAGUCGGAGCAGGCCUACCAGGACGCGGCCGAGCGGCUGGCCGAGAUCCGGCUCCGGCAGCACCUGUGCGUCCUGCGGGACGCCCGGGUGAUCGGCAUGACGACCACCGGGGCCGCCAAGUACCGGCGGGCCCUGCAGGAGAUCCGGCCCCGCCUCGUCAUCGUGGAGGAGGCGGCCGAGGUGCUGGAGGCGCACACCAUCACCACCCUCAGCCGCGCCUGCCAGCACCUCAUCCUCAUUGGGGAUCACCAGCAGCUGCGUCCCAGCGCCACAGUGUACGAGCUGGCUAAGAACUUCAACCUGGAGGUGUCCCUGUUCGAGAGGCUGGUCACGCUCGAUUUCCCCUUCGUCAGGCUCAACUACCAGCACCGGAUGCGGCCAGAAAUCGCCCGUCUCCUGACGCCGCACAUCUACUCCGAGCUGGAGAACCACCCGUCUGUUCUGGAGUACGAAAACAUCAAGGGGGUGGCGACCAACCUGUACUUUGUGGAGCACCAGUAUCCCGAGGAGGAGAUCCAGGAUGGGCGGAGCCACCAGAACCGGCACGAGGCCCUGUUCCUGGUGGCCCUGUGCCGCUACCUCCUGUGCCAGGACUACCAGCCGUCCCAGAUCACCAUCCUGACCACCUACACCGGCCAGCUGCACUGCCUGCGCAAGCUCCUCCCGGCUGCGCAGUUCGCCGGGGUCAAAGUUCACGUGGUGGACAAGUACCAGGGCGAGGAGAACGACAUCAUCCUCCUCUCCCUGGUCCGCAGCAACCGGGAGGGGCGGGUGGGCUUCCUCCAGAUCGCCAACCGCGUGUGCGUGGCCCUGUCCCGGGCCAAGAAGGGCCUGUACUGCGUGGGGAACCUGGAGAUGCUGGGCAGGGUGAAGCUUUGGAGCGCCAUCCUCCACACGCUGCGGGAGAAGGGCCAGGCGGGGCCCGCCCUCGCCCUGCGCUGCCAGAACCACCCGGGCACCCGGGCCCUGGUGUCGCGCGCCGAGGACUUCCGCCAGGCGCCCGAGGGGGGCUGCUCGCUCCCUUGCGAGUUCCGGCUGGACUGCGGCCACGUCUGCACCCGCGCCUGCCACCCCUACGACGCCGACCACAAGAAGUUCGAGUGCGCCAAGCCCUGCGGGAAAGUGCUGUGCGAGCUGGGCCACCGCUGCCCGGAUCUGUGCUACCAACAGUGCGACGACUGCCGCGUGCGGGUGGAGAAGGUGGUGCCCGGGUGCGGGCACAGGCAGAUGGUGCCCUGCUACAAGGACCCGCUGGACUUCGUGUGCCAGGUGCCCUGCGAGAAGGUGCUGAGGUGCGGGCACCCCUGCGACAGGGUGUGCGGGGAGCCCUGCACCGCCCGCUGCGCGGUGCCCGUCUCCCGGCAACUGCGCUGCGGGCACCGGCAGGAGGACGCCUGCCACUACAGCCGCUCGCCCGCCGGCGAGCCCCCCUGCCGGACGCCCUGCGGCGCCACGCUGGCGUGCGGGCACCCGUGCCGCGGCACCUGCCACGAGUGCCACGGGGGCCUCUUCCACCGGCCGUGCGGGCGGCCGUGCGGGCGCCCGCUGGUCUGCUCGCACCCGUGCGCCGAGCCCUGCACCGCCGAGUGCCCGCCGUGCCGCCGGCCGUGCCAGAACCGCUGCGUGCACAGCGCCUGCCGCCGCUCCUGCGGGCAGCCGUGCGCCCCCUGCGCCGAGCCCUGCGCCUGGCGCUGCCCGCACCACCGCUGCGGCCGCCUCUGCCACGAGCCCUGCGACCGCCCGCCCUGCAACAGGCGCUGCGACAAGGCCCUGCCCUGCGGGCACCCCUGCAUCGGGCUCUGCGGCGAGCCCUGCCCCGACCGCUGCCGCGUCUGCCACCGCGACCAGGUCACCGAGAUCUUCUUCGGCCAGGAGGACGACCCGCUGGCCUUCUUCAUCCAGCUGGAGGACUGCGGGCACAUCUUCGAGUCCACCGCCAUGGACCACUACAUGGGUGCGGCGGUGGACGGGGGCGGGGACGGGGACGGGGGCGGGGACGAGCCGGCGGCCGUCCGGCUGAAGGAGUGCCCGCGCUGCCGCACCCCCGUCCGGCGGAACCUCCGCUACGGGGCCCACGUCAACCGCUGCCUGGCCGAGAUCGAGGCGGUCAAGGCCAAGGUCAACGGCUCCCCGGCCCAGGUGGAGAGGAGGCGGCGGGAGCUGCUGGAGCUCCUGCGGGGGAAGGCCCACCUGCGCCGGCACCUCCCCUUGGAGCACGCCAAGCUGCAGGAGCGGCUGAUGGAGCCGGAGCUCGGCCUCCGCGACCUGUGGGUGCUGGAGAACCGGGCGGCCUUCCUGGACGACCUCGGGGAGCGGAUGGGCGCGGCGGCGGACAUGUCCGAGGAGGACCGGCGGCGCUUCGCGGAGCGGGCCGACGACCUCCGGCGCUGGCUGACGCACCCGCAGACGCGCUUCUCCGAGCAGCAGGCGGCCGACCUGCAGGCCGAGGCGGCGAGGCUGGGCUGCCUGGCGCGCCUCAACGCGCUCUGCAAGCGGGCCGGCCAGGAGGCCCGCGCUCGGCCCGAGGUGGCGGCCCUCCGGGCCACGCUGGAGGGCACCGCCCCCUUCACCCAGGACGACGAGCGGGAGGCCAGGGCGGCGCUGAAGGAGCUCGCCGAGAAGCUGCCGUGCGGCGGGCUGGGCGUGACGGAGAAGGAGCGCGUCAUGAUCGUGAGCGCCAUCGGCCUGCCCAGGGGGCACUGGUACAAGUGCCCCAACGGGCACGUCUACGCCAUCGGGGACUGCGGGGGCGCCAUGGAGCGUGGGAAGUGCCCCGAGUGCAGCCUGGCCAUCGGCGGGGCCAACCACGCCCUGGAGACCGGCAACCAGGUGGCGACGGAGAUGGACGGCGCCCAGCACGCCGCCUGGUCCGAGGCCGCCAACAUGCUGAACUUUGACCUCGACCGCCUGCGGCUGUGAGCCUCCGCCGACUCGGGUGAAAACCUUCGCAUCGCAGUCGAGAAAACAAUGAAACGAUUACCAAAGCGAGGAACUCUUGUGUGUAAUUCCUCUUUGAAAACAUGAGGUGGCAGCAGCAGCACAUUGUGGAUGGAAAAAAACUGGCGUUGGACCGAAACACAAGACCUCUAAAAAGAAAAAAAAGACUAACUCACACACACCAAGUUACCAUGGAUAUAUUUUGUAGAUCGGCUGUGCAAUAGAGACCUACAUUAAAUGUGCAAGGGGCACAAAAAUAGUUUCGAUUUCUGCUUUUAAUAGGGUGUCUUGAGUUACUGAAGGAAACAUUUUAGGAGCACCUGUUUUACAAACCGGCGGAACAAGAUCAGAAAGCUCACUCUGUACUGAACGCAGAUGGUGGCUAAUGUAGUACUGCCAGAACUCUCAACAGACAACGUGUUUUUGUCAGUGAAACAUAGUACUAAUCAAAGCGACUACAUUUUGUCUCCAAAGAAAAUGAAUUCAAGGAUGGCCUCCUGCUAACACUGGAGGCACUUUGCAGCUGAGCGUGUCGGCUAGGGUGAUAAAUGCAGCCCUGUCACUGGCUAGAGCUACAGUGCAAACCGCUCUCUGCAGAAAAAAUAAACGAAUCCCUUUUGUGUGAUGAUCACGGGGAAAACCGACUAAAUGUACGCGGAUAACGCGGAGCGGGUAGUAAAGAUUUUUUGCUGUUUUUGGAGUUUUUUUUUUUCUUUUUUGGUGGGUGGGUGGGGGGGGCGCUGCAGAGAGAAAUGGUGAGAUCGCAAGAAAGCCCACUAUGUCAUCUGUCAACGGCGCACCUUUUAAAAGAUUCCCCCUCUUUUCCACCACUGGUACCAUGCGACUCUGAACAGAGAAGCACUAUUCUUUUUUAUUUGUACCAAUAAGGUCGGCGCAGUCGUACGGUGGAACAGUGUUUCAAAAGCCAAAAGGUACAGGCAUUAAAAGCCAGAAACACUCAUUUUCAUCACCAUGGUUAAUGUACAGGCGAGGAGUGGUUUAGCAACAGCGCUUCCAGAAUUAGCUCCAUGGUGAAAGAUCGACCUCUGCAUCCACUGUAAAAUAUCAAAAAACCACUUACCAUUCAACAAAGCAAAGAUAUUAACAAGAGCAAACUGCUCUGCAAAGAAGUACUGAGGCACCAGACAGAGGUUGCUAAUAUCAGGGAGAGCUAGCGCAUGAGAAGCAGGGAUCCUGCACGACUAAAUUCAGAGACCUACAGCUGCUGAAAUGCAAACAUCUGAAAAUGCCUUUGCAAGUGCGAAACACAUUGUUAUGUCUGCAGAAAUCAGAUUUGGCGAGCAAUUUUGAGCCCAAUAUCUAAUUUCAGACACGAAUCCUAUGGAAUCUUAUAGCAUUAGCGAAGGCUGACACAGCAAGCACAACUUGAGGGUGACUCCCCGUCUUCUGCUAUCUGGGGCCUUUAGCGAACAGUACCUCGUAUUGGGAUGACAGAUAUAAAGGAAGAUGCGGUUGGUUUAUCAGAAAGUAAAUGCUGACGAAGCAUCAAAAAAAAAAUGAAGAAAAUGAAAAAAUUAAGUUAGCGCUCAGCGAUACUAGCCUCGCCGUGCUGAUGUUGUGAUGAUGUUGCUGCCCGGGGCUUCUGCUUUAGCCUCUCGGAGUGAUGGCUGGCUUGACAUUCGAGCUCAGCAGGAUUUUUAUCUAAAUCUGAAGUACUCUUUAAACAUUCCGUUUACAUUUUAAAUAUCGCUUCCCUUACUGACAGAGAAAAUGUACAUUUCCUCUACAUUUACAGAGAACGUUGUAAAUAGGCAUAUGGUGUUUUAUGUCAUCACUGAUGCAGCAAGUGACCUUACUGUGACAUAUGGAGUGACACACACCAUAUGCCUAUUUUGAGUUAUUAAGCACUCAUUCAUUUCUUUGUGGUGCUUCUGAAAGAAAACGUCAGUGUGAAUUGUAAUACGUGUGCGCACACACGCACACGCGGCAACUAAAAUACAGGUAUUUUUUACUAUUGAUUGUACUGAUGAGAUUUACCACUUUGGUUGAGAAUAGAGUUUCAUGACUGAUCUGGUUGGCCCCUUCCUGAUUUCCUUUAUUAUUGCAUAUUUGUCGAACUGUAUGGCUUCAGAUAUUUUGACAAAAUGUAAUAUUAGAUAAAAUGAAACUGAGUAAACACAAAACACAUUUUUAAAAAUUAUUUCAUUUAAUGAAAAAGGUUAUCACACCCAUAUCACCCAUGUGAAAAAGUAAUUGCCACCUCAGUUACUCAAUCAACCAAUUAACUUAAUUAAAUUCAUAAUUAGAUUCAGCUAAUUGAACACAGUCAGGCUUAAUUGCAGCGAGCUCUGUUGACUCUUAACCUUACUCAAACUGAACCUUACCAUCAGAGUAAAGUAGUCACCACAAAGUUUCUACAAGCACACUUUGUCACCAUCAGAGGAAAUUCCAGCACAGAUGAGAAAAAAAGGUGUUGAAAUACAUCAGUCUGGAAAGGGUUACAAAGCCAUGUCUAAGUAUCUGGGACUCCAGUGAACCACAGUGAGAGCCUUUUUCUCCAACGAGUGAAUCCUUGGAACUGUGGUGAAUCUUCCCAGGAGUGGCCGGCCUGCCGAAAUUUCUCCAAGGGUACAGCGACAACUCAUCCAGGAAUGGAGUUUUCAAAGACGACCCGAGCCUGUCAGAACCCGAACGCGACCCAACCGUUGGGUCAGCUUUGGGCCGAGAAUUUAUGUUCAUUGAUUUGGUCAGGAGGUCAGGCGUUUUUAAUCACCCAAAAUUUCCCAUUUGCUGUAACUAACAAUACACUGAAUAUACAGCUUUAGCACUUUUUGACACUGCACAACACUAACUUGAUUGAUCGGAUUACGAUAUAUAGAUAUCCUAUCAACGGUAAGUUUUCAAUAACAAAAGCGAAGCCAGGAGAAGACGUGACAAGAUUUAUAUGAAAUUCCCUCUCAGGAGAGAAAGGGAAAGAUGUGUGUGUUGACUCAAAAAUUUGAAGGUUACCUGGUUGUUAGUUCCAUUUAUUUUGAAUAAAGUGUUGUAUGAUUGUAUUUAAAGUAUCACAUAAUAUUACAGGCAUUUAGCAGAUGCUAAUCCAGAGCAACUUAGACAACUGAAUGCCACAUUUAGUCUGCCAGAGAGGCGGAUUAGUCUCAGCUGUGGCGGCUGGUGGAGAGAGCACAUGCACCUGGGCUGCGUUAGCUAAUCAGCCCCGGUGCUUAAAGGUGUGCUGCUCUCCACAGGUUGGGGCUGAGACCGGAAGCUAACACCGAGAGCGAGUUUCUUUAUUUGAGUUGCGUUUCAUUUCAGUUUUGUUUCUUUUAACAAGACAGGGAAAAGUUAACCGCCACUGAAAAGUCAGAAGAGCGGCAAACUGAAAUAGUUGUCGUUCUGUUUUACUUUAUUUUCUCUUUGUUAUUUUAGUUUGUUUUGUUUUCAUUGUUUUUGCCUGGAACCUGUGAGGGGGAAGGGUGAAGAUGGUGUUUAUUUUAUUUCAUGUUUGUGUGGGUGCGAUCUCUUUCUCUCUCCAUGCGACAGACAACGGUGUUGCCUGGCACUGCCUCAUCUCCCUCCCAGGGGUGUCAUGCUUGGCAUGUGACAACAAUUUUUACAUCGCAUUUACAUUGCAUCCAUUUACACAGUGGGUUAUAUACUGAAGCAAUGCAGGUUAAGCUCAGAACAAACAAAGGAUGACAUAAUUAACAUUAGGUCAUGUGGAUGUUUUAAUAUAUAGCAUUUUGUUUUACUGAGGGCAUCCUUGAGUCUUGUGAUGUUCCUGCUCUCUUGUCUCCUUGUUGAGCUGUGUGCGUUCUUUUUUUUGGUCGGGUUGGGUCGGGUCGGCUCGGGCUUAGUAAAAUACAUGUGAUUUCUGGCGGGGCCAAGCUAGAGCUUAAAAUUCUUAGGCCUGUUGAGAACUCUAUCCAGGAAGUCCCAAAAGAUCCCAGAAGAACAUGUGAAGAACUUCAGGUCUCUCUAACCUCAGCUACGGUCACUGCACAUGACUCCACGAUAAGAGAGAGACUGGGCAAAAAUGGGAUUCAAGGGAGAAUAGCAAGGCGGAAACCGCUGCUAACCAAGAGACACAUCAAUGCUCGUCUCGCGUUUGCAAAAAAGCACCUGGAUGAUCCCCCAGCCUUUUGGAAAAAUGUUCUGUGGACUGAAGAAAGUGAAAGUUUUUGGAUGACAUAGGUCCCAUUAUGUCUGGUGAAAAGCAAAUGCAGCAUUUCACAGCAAGAAUAUAAUACCAACAAACAUGGUGGAGGUAGUGUGGUGGUGUGGGGACGCUUCACUGCCUCAGGACCUGGAGACUUGCCAGUAUUCAAUUAACAAUGAAUUCUGCUCUGUACUAGAAAAUUGUUAAGAGUGUCUGGUCAUCUGUCCGUGAGCUAAAGCUGAAGCGUAAUUGGGUUAUUCAAGACAAUGAUCCAAAACCCAAAAGCAGAUCCACAUCUGAAUGGCUGAAAAGAAACGCAUUUAAAGCUUUGUAGUGGCCAAGUCAAAGUCCUGAUCUGAACCCAAGAGCAAUGCUGUGGCAGGACUUCAAAUAAGCAGUUCAUGAUCU
RNA transcript from Anguilla rostrata (American eel), 10662 nucleotides. It is a transcript of the gene named zinc finger, NFX1-type containing 1, with no coding region annotated. The record is from RefSeq and is a predicted model, not a curated record. NCBI's taxonomy places the organism in Eukaryota, Metazoa, Chordata, Actinopteri, Anguilliformes, Anguillidae. The transcript is spliced from 16 exons.